Molecule: long non-coding RNA, 1127 nt
Filed under: Triticum aestivum (bread wheat)
Lineage: Eukaryota; Viridiplantae; Streptophyta; Magnoliopsida; Poales; Poaceae
Description: long non-coding RNA (TAES_LNC005140)
Source: RNAcentral
GGCCAUGGACUAAAGCUCCUCCGGACCUUCCCUCGCGACUGUCGGCCCUCCUCCUGACCAGAUUGACGACGGCGAUGACCGGAUCUGCCCCGCCGCCAUUUGUUUUCACCUUCCCAGGCAGCCCUGCCGCCCCUCCCAGCCGCCUCUUUGGACACCGCUGAUGCACAAUCGAUUUGCCGCCGCUGUUCCUCGGCACAGCAGGGACCACCAGUGGUGCCACAUGUCCUCUUCAUCAUGAUAGGUACAGAACUGGAUAACCGAUUGGUGCUACUGCAGUUAAGAUCUUUUAUACGUCAUGUCGACAAUGGUGUUUGAUAAGAAACCCAAGCAGGCCACAUGUGAGUUGAAUCAACAUAAUCUAUAUGAUGUAGUGAAGGAUAGACUCCUCUCCCCAUGUUGUUUCUGGAUAUAUUCUUUUUCAGUGAAUUACUACAGAAGCAUUGAUUUAAGACUAUUCUUCGUCAUCUAAGAAAACUAAGAUUUAUUUUGGCCACGGGAUUUCUUUCAACAUAUCCUAUGAAUGUUUCCAUAGAAAGUUGCCCUCAGAUCAAACUUCUUUAUUUCUUCUACACAGGAAGGUGGUAGAAUAUGCAUCCUUCAAUGCAUAGGUUUGUGAUUUAUAUGCCCGGUGAGCCUCUUUCAUUUCAAUUCUUGAGAGUCCUAACAUUUCAUUUCUUUGAGCGUUUGAGUCCUAUUGUUCUGUAUUCCGAGCUCUUGAACAUUUUCCUGCACAAAAAUGAUCUAUAAUAAUUCUCUUCUAAGCCCAGAGAUAGUUGUACACAUCAUUUAUUCAAUCCUAAAUUAGGAGUAUGCUCUGAAUUACUCCUGUAGUGCAUUUUACAUCCCCCUUACAUCUAUGUCAUCUUACUCAUAUAAAUUUGCUUACUGUAUAUAUGCUUUCCCGUGCAAUCAUCCUUAACAAAUAUCACAUCCGUAACUACUUAUCAUGGUAUUUUCUAUUUUUUACGCUGCCACUUACUGGUCUUAUGACAUGGAGAGGAGAGGCCAAGGAGUAGAAAGCAUCCAGCUGUGUCUUGCAAACAAGCUAAGGUUGCAUAAUGUCACUGAUUGUGCAAAACCAGAAAAACAAAUCGCAUCACUGCAUGUUUAUAUGAGUGUUCACUGCU